Molecule: ribosomal RNA, 490 nt
Filed under: uncultured bacterium
Lineage: Bacteria
Description: bacterial SSU rRNA
Rfam family: Bacterial small subunit ribosomal RNA
Source: RNAcentral
GACGAACGCUGGCGGCGUGCUUAACACAUGCAAGUCGAGCGGUAAGGCCCUUUCGGGGGUACACGAGCGGCGAACGGGUGAGUAACACGUGGGUGACCUGCCCUCAGCUCUGGGAUAAGCCCGGGAAACUGGGUCUAAUACUGGAUAUGACUCCACGGUGCAUGUCGUGGGGUGGAAAGCCUUGUGCGGCUGAGGAUGGGCCCGCGGCCUAUCAGCUUGUUGGUGGGGUGAUGGCCACCAAGGCGACGACGGGUAGCCGGCCUGAGAGGGCGACCGGCCACACUGGGACUGAGACACGGCCCAGACUCCUACGGGAGGCAGCAGUGGGGAAUCUUGCGCAAUGGCCGAAAGGCUGACGCAGCGACGCCGCGUGUGGGAGGAAGCUCUUCGGGGUGUAAACCACUGUUGCCCGGGACGAACACACUCUUUUGAGAGUGCUGACGGUACCGGGUGAGGAAGCACCGGCUAACUCUGCGCCAGCCGCCGCGGU